GAGCGGAUGAAGAGAGCUUGCUCUCUGAUUCAGCGGCGGACGGGUGAGUAAUGCCUAGGAAUCUGCCUGGUAGUGGGGGACAACGUCUCGAAAGGGACGCUAAUACCGCAUACGUCCUACGGGAGAAAGUGGGGGAUCUUCGGACCUCACGCUAUCAGAUGAGCCUAGGUCGGAUUAGCUAGUUGGUGAGGUAAUGGCUCACCAAGGCGACGAUCCGUAACUGGUCUGAGAGGAUGAUCAGUCACACUGGAACUGAGACACGGUCCAGACUCCUACGGGAGGCAGCAGUGGGGAAUAUUGGACAAUGGGCGAAAGCCUGAUCCAGCCAUGCCGCGUGUGUGAAGAAGGUCUUCGGAUUGUAAAGCACUUUAAGUUGGGAGGAAGGGCAUUAACCUAAUACGUUGAUGUUUUGACGUUACCGACAGAAUAAGCACCGGCUAACUCUGUG
RNAcentral lists this ribosomal RNA (448 nucleotides) under uncultured bacterium. Its description in RNAcentral is "bacterial SSU rRNA". It matches the Rfam family "Bacterial small subunit ribosomal RNA", at positions 64 to 507 of the family's 1533-position model. The record is from RNAcentral.